AGUGAACGCUGGCGGUAGGCCUAACACAUGCAAGUCGAACGGCAGCACAGUAAGAGCUUGCUCUUACGGGUGGCGAGUGGCGGACGGGUGAGGAAUACAUCGGAAUCUACUUUUUCGUGGGGGAUAACGUAGGGAAACUUACGCUAAUACCGCAUACGACCUACGGGUGAAAGCAGGGGAUCUUCGGACCUUGCGCGAUUGAAUGAGCCGAUGUCGGAUUAGCUAGUUGGCGGGGUAAAGGCCCACCAAGGCGACGAUCCGUAGCUGGUCUGAGAGGAUGAUCAGCCACACUGGAACUGAGACACGGGCCAGACUCCUACGGGAGGCAGCAGUGGGGAAUAUUGGACAAUGGGCGCAAGCCUGAUCCAGCCAUACCGCGUGGGUGAAGAAGGCCUGCGGGUUGUAAAGCCCUUUUGUUGGGAAAGAAAAGCAGCAGGUUAAUACCCCGCUGUUCUGACGGUACCCAAAGAAUAAGCACAGGCUAACUUCGU
RNAcentral lists this ribosomal RNA (491 nucleotides) under uncultured bacterium. Its description in RNAcentral is "partial 16S ribosomal RNA". It matches the Rfam family "Bacterial small subunit ribosomal RNA", at positions 29 to 506 of the family's 1533-position model. The record is from RNAcentral.